RNAcentral lists this long non-coding RNA (459 nucleotides) under Brassica rapa (field mustard). RNAcentral describes it as "long non-coding RNA (BRAP_LNC001580)". Lineage: Eukaryota; Viridiplantae; Streptophyta; Magnoliopsida; Brassicales; Brassicaceae. The record is from RNAcentral.
UCAAAUCAAAACACUGUUUGCUUCUUGCUUCCCACUGACAUUAAUGGAUUCUCACGCGCCAUUCCGUGGCUCUCUACCUCUUGUUUAAAAGUCCCCUUAUGUUUUUUUUUUUUUUGAUAAAUCCUAUCGGCUGAUCCGGUCGGUCCCGGAAAGAACGUACUUAGUACUACAGAGUAGACUAGCCCGAAAGCAUACCACACUGCCUGUCCCGAGUUUGGAAUACCUUCCGACUAAUGCCAGAGGAAAACUAAUCAUCUAUUAUGGUCCACCAUAUAAACCACUUGGGGCGAAACUCAAACCCAAACUCACCAAGUAAUAAUAAUUUAGUUUCUAAGAAGAAUCAAACUCCAAAUUGACAUGGAUACACACUAAGUUCCCUAUGUGGCUAUGUUUGAUGUCUACCUUAUUAUUUAUUGACAAUUUUAUUUUUUCACUCUUAUUAUAUUGUAGAUGCCAAAC